AUUGAACGCUGGCGGCAUGCUUUACACAUGCAAGUCGAACGGUAACAGGUUAAGCUGACGAGUGGCGAACGGGUGAGUAAUGCAUCGGAGCGUGCCCGGUCGUGGGGGAUAACGCAGCGAAAGCUGCGCUAAUACCGCAUACGAUCUGAGGAUGAAAGCGGGGGACCGUAAGGCCUCGCGCGAUCGGAGCGGCCGAUGUCAGAGUAGGGAGUUGGUGGGGUAAAGGCUAACCAAGCCGACGAUCUGUAGCUGGUCUGAGAGGACGACAAGCAACACUGGGACUGAGACACGGCCCAGACUCCUACGGGAGGCAGCAGUGGGGAAUUUUGGACAAUGGGCGCAAGCCUGAUCCAGCAAUGCCGCGUGCAGGAAGAAGGCCUUCGGGUUGUAAUCUGCUUUUGUACGGAGCGAAAAGGCUCUCUCUAAUACAGGGGGCUCAUGACGGUACCGUAAGAAUAAGCACCGGCUAACUACGUGCCAGCCGCCGCGGUAA
Molecule: ribosomal RNA, 493 nt
Filed under: uncultured bacterium
Lineage: Bacteria
Description: partial 16S ribosomal RNA
Rfam family: Bacterial small subunit ribosomal RNA
Source: RNAcentral